Molecule: ribosomal RNA, 494 nt
Filed under: uncultured bacterium
Lineage: Bacteria
Description: partial 16S ribosomal RNA
Rfam family: Bacterial small subunit ribosomal RNA
Source: RNAcentral
GACGAACGCUGGCGGCGUGCUUAACACAUGCAAGUCGAACGGUGAAGCGCCUUCCUUUUUGGUGGGUGUGGAUGAGUGGCGAACGGGUGAGUAACACGUGAGUAACCUGCCCCCUUCUUCUGGAUAACCGCAUGAAAGUGUGGCUAAUACGGGAUAUUCUGGGUCUGUCGCAUGAUGGGUCUGGGAAAGAUAUUGUUUCGGUGGGGGAUGGGCUCGCGGCCUAUCAGCUUGUUGGUGGGGUGAUGGCCUACCAAGGCGGUGACGGGUAGCCGGCCUGAGAGGGUGGACGGUCACACUGGGGCUGAGCCACGGCCCAGACUCCCACGGGAGGCAGCAGUGGGGAAUAUUGCACAAUGGGCGCAAGCCUGAUGCAGCGACGCCGCGUGAGGGAUGGAGGCCUUCGGGUUGUGAACCUCUUUCGCCAGUGAAGCAGGCCUGCCUCGUUUGUGGGUGGGUUGACGGUAGCUGGAUAAGAAGCGCCGGCUAACUACGUG